Rattus norvegicus (Norway rat) is the source of this 7913-nucleotide non-coding RNA. The record is from RefSeq and is a predicted model, not a curated record. Lineage: Eukaryota; Metazoa; Chordata; Mammalia; Rodentia; Muridae.
GUCAAUAAAAGAGAGACCCACAGAAAGCUGCCGAAGACUCGAGGGGACACGUGAUGGAAGACUGACGGAGGGACUGACAUAGAAACUCAGAGAGACGCUGAGAAGAGGCCAAGAAAGAAGUGAGCCGGACCUGAGGAGAGGUACGGAGGGAGAUGGACUGAGACCAGUAAAGGGGCGGACCGCAACAAGCCUUUCCUCCGGUCAAGUUAACUGCCUAGGAUAUUUUACCGUGGUGAUAGAAAGCUGGCUAAUACCACAGGGAAGAAGAUACUGUCACACUUCCACAGAUCAGCUCCAUGCAUGACUGGUGAAACCUUCCUAACCUGUGAAUAUACAGAGGAAGAGAUGGUCGUCAAUCCCAGCACUCAGGAGGCAGAGGCAGAGGACGUCAAGGUCAGCCUGGUCUAUGGAGUGAGUCCCAGGACAACCAGAGCUACACAGAGAAACCCUGUCUCAACAAAACCCCACUAGACAAAACGAAAGGCACUCUGUGUAAAAUCCUGGCUGAAAUGAGUCCAGGUAAGGGAACCCAGAGAGGCUGGGACGCAUAGCACAGUGAAUAGCAAGAACAUGGAAGCCAGAGACACUGGGUGUGGGUUCGAGCCCCUGCCCUAUGAAACGAGGAUCAUAAUUUCCAUCCAGUGUGAUUACAGACUGGUAUCCAGCACAUAGAUAAGCUCUGUAGUCGAGCACAGAGGAAGAGACAUGCAGAGUCCAUGCCACGCCGGGCCUGGGUAAAAAGACAGCUGGGAUCUUAAUCCCAUUAGCUGCAAUGACUAGUGAGAGGUGGGGAGAAAUGCUGCUAUUCUAUGGUGACUUGUAAAGCCUCCAUCAAAUGUGGCUGAGAAGGGAGGAGAUGUCCCUGUAGACAGAACUGAGGACUUGGGAAAUUAAAGUAACUUAUGAAUUUCACCUUUAUUGAUAAUAAAAAAUUAGGGGAAAGAUGCUGACAAAUACCAUUUAUUGCUCUAACUUCUUUUAGAAAACCACAUGGGGCUAGAGGGAUGAUUCAGUUGCUAAAGGGCCUGCAUGAAAGCAAGGACCUGAGUUUGCGUUCCCAAACCCACAGUGACACAUGUCUAUCUCCCCCUUCUUGGGCUGGGAACAGAAUCAAGCAGACCCCUGGAGCUGUUUGCCAGCUAGCCUAGCCAAGUCAAUGAGCUCUAACUGUCUCAAAACAUACAUACAUACAUACAUACAUACAUACAUACAUACAUACAUACAUACAUACGGAUAGGAAUCAAGGGAGACACCUGGUAUCAGAGCUAGACUGAGAGAGAGAGAUGCACACACACCAUAGAGAACUUAUAAGAGCGUAGGUAACAUUUUCAAUGAAGCAUUAAGAAGUGUGGUCAUGGCAGUCAAACUCCCUGAGGUAAGCUCCUUCCUUAUCCUCAGGAAUCUUCAUCGGGAACAUUGUGGAUGCCGGUGUUUGGCCAUGCCAGUGACCUGUUGUGCUAUCAAUAAAGCAUCUUACGUUGAACAAGCAAUUAGUAAAGGGCAGUUAAGAGCCCUGGCCACUCUUAUAGAAGGUCUGAGUUCACAAUGUCUCAUGGCUCAUGACUGCCUGUAACUCCAGCUCCAAAACAAAGAGCAGCUGUGAUUCAAUUCAUCUUUGGUCUCCACCGUUUGAAAAAACUGGGGGUUAGAUGAUGGAGGAAUACUGAUAGUAAAUCGGUAACCUGUUUUGAAAAUGUUUGACGUCUUAACUAAUGGUGAAGAUACACUUACGACAUUCCCAAGAGCUUCUGAAGUGCAUUCCGUGUGCCCCAAAGCAUGAGAGCUGGGAAACUAGAAGGGACAUCGUGCAUGAUGGCCAAAGCCUGCAGCCAAGCCAGAUGCUCACUCUCAGCACACGGCAGAAGGAGACAACGAGGUGAGCUUGUUUAUGUGACAGGACAGUGGGCAUCUGAAGCAGAGCUACACACGAAUGUCACAGUGUUGUAUGAAAGGUACCACACUCCAAACGUAAGACUAUGUGACCCCACUGGAAUAAAGUUCAAAAUCGGGCAGGUUAGCUGCACUGCUUAUGAAUGUAUCCUUAGACAGUAAAUGAGGUGUUUAAGAAAGGCCAAGAUUACCCUGGAGUCAGGUACCAGCUGGCUCUGAGGAGAGAACAGGUUGGCAAGGGGGAAAGGGAUGGAGGGUCUAGAGUCCUCUGUGGACUUGGAUGAUGGUGGUGUGUAUAUAAUACUUCACCAUGUGGACUUGGAUGAUGGUGGUGUGUCUUGGACUUGGAUGAUGGUGGUGUGUAUAUAAUACUUCACCAUGCAGACUUGGGUGAUGGUGGUGUGUCUGUGGACUUGGAUGAUGGUGGUGUGUAUAUAAUACUUCACCAUGCAGACUUGGGUGAUGGUGGUGUGUCUGUGGACUUGGAUGAUGGUGGUGUGUAUAUAAUACUUCACCAUGCGGACUUGGAUGAUGGUGGUGUGUAUAUAAUACUUCACCAAGCUCUACAUUCACAUGAUAUCUACUUCAUGUGCCCAUGCUAUGGUCAGAAUACAAUUGCUUACAACUAACCAUUCUUGCCUGGACCACCAAAGCCAGCCCUUUAAAGAAGAGAAUCAGAGGACCAUGUGCCUAGAGGACAAGUAGGGGAAAAGCCCUACAAAAGUAAAUCUAUUUUUGUGUCAGAACAGCUGAACCUUUACAGCCCUUCCCUCUCUCAAGAGAGCCUCCUGGAUCAAUCUCUGUUUUGUAUGAAAUUAUUUUUAAGAAAACAAAAACAACCAGUAGAACUCUAUGAUAAACACAGACAAGAAAAGUACCACACAGACCAGCUACAUAACACACACAAAGUGCCAGGACAGCAACUGUUCAAGAGCCACACAGUCAAGAUCAUUCCCUAAAACACUCCGUGAGACUGAAGAGAAACCCUCCCUGCCUCCCUCUUGACGCUGUACAAUGAACAGGGAGCUUCACCACAUGGAAGGAGUGUGUGUGUGCCCGGAGACAAAGUAAGGCUGAUGGGAGAAGCUGCAGGAAGUGCCUCGUGCCCAGAGAACAGAUACCAGUGAUGUCAUGGGGGAGCUUUAGAAGCCUGUGUCCUCAUUUCUCCCACUGAUCCCCCACACACCUUCUGAACUGGCCUCAAUUCAGGCCUUGUCAGCUACGGUAGGAACCAGAUAUAGAUCAAAUCCUUUAUAGAACAAAAGGAAAACUAGCAUGCAGGACUCCCUCUUCUAGAUAUUGUUGUUUAAUAAGGAAACCUGGGGCAUCCAGAUCAUCACGUGGCAUCAUGGGUGUGUGCAGUGUGCACACCCCAGAGUACUGGAGGACAGGAAGGAAGCAUCAAGAAGCAUUUGGGGGGCAAUCUCCUAAGAGGAGCCUUAUAAAAAGAAUCUGUGGAUGUUGAGGAAGAGUAAACAAGGUCACAGGCACAGCUUGGGCUACAGCAGAGAGUUAAAAAGGAAACUGGGAGGUUGUGCCCAGAGCAACUUGGUGUUGCUGGAGUUAUGUUUGCUUGACGAGAAGGCACAGAGCCAGGUCCUCAAAGAUCAGGAAGCCACUUAAAUGUGUUUGGGCUUUGCUGUGUGUGUAAAAGGAACCUCCUUUAGAAAGGUUUAAUCAGGGAGACGAUUUUCCAGGGUUCAAUUUAGCUUUCGGAAAGAAUUAAAGAGAUUUUCCUUUGUCUGCUGCACUGUCUGGCUGCAUGGCAACUCUCCUUUUCCUCUCCAUCCCCAUCCCCAGUCUCCACCCUCUUUAAGCACGCCAAGUCUAAAGCCCCCAUCAGCCUAGCAAAGUCCAUGUCUUACCCUGGCCUCCUACAAAAACUAGGUUCUAAUUAUUCUAGGAUACCAUGAGGACUGGUCCUGGGCAAGCCUCUAACCUAUUCUUCCCCAGGGCAAAGUGAGCACAGUUAAGCCAGGCAGGGGCUCAGCAAGCAAAACCCAUGCCCUGUAAGCCUGACAACUUAAGUUUGACUCCUGAAACCCCAAGUGGAAGGAGAGAACCAAUGUCCCAAAAGCUGUCUUCUGAUUUCCACAUGUAUGUAUGAACACACACUCACAUAAACAAUGAUAAACAGACAAACAAAAGCUCAUUCCCUAUGCCUUGAAGGCUGGUACAAAAGUGGACAAAAUAAGUCAAAAGUCAUAGCUUAGGGCUGAGAGGUGGAGCACUUGCCUGGCGUUUGCACGGCCCUGUGUUCUAGCCCCAGCACACUCACAGAAAAGCUCACCAUCUCCCCAGAGUUAUUCUCUAACCCUACAAACAUACAGUGCAUGCAAGUAUACACACGCUCUCUCAAUGCAUACAUAACAUACAUACAUACAUACAUACAUACAUACAUACAUGCAACACAGCACAGAUAUAGAGAUGGGAGGGGGGCUUAGUUUUCACCUUUCAACAAAGCUUCCUUUUGCAGCAGAUACCAUUACAGAAACCAGAAACUGGUACAAACGUAGAGAAUGACUGACCGUGAAAUGACCAACCCUUACUGAUGCUCUCAUGAUAUAACUCCUACCUAAGGCUUAAAGAAUUGCAGAAGAAGGGGAGGAAAGAUUGUAAGAGCCAGGGAUCCUGGGAAUUUGAGAUGAGACAGUGUGGCUCCCAUAUGUGAUUUUACUCAGAAGCUACAUAUCAAAAAUGUGUUAUCCCAAAUAGGGCCUCUCCAACACCACCACCAGUUGACAUGCCAGUGUGAAGAAGAGAUCACACAAUGGCCUAGACCUACAUGAAGAGCUAUAGGCAAGUGACAGCAGCUGAAAGAGGAAGAGACAAUGUCCUUCAGGAACAAGCACCUAUAGGCUACCCAGUCCAACUGGGUCGGCCCUAAACAAAUACACACAUGAGCGCCACUAAACAGACUCAGCAGCAGUACAUACAAACAGCUGUGUGUGUGCGUGUGUGUGUGUGUGUGUGUGCAUGUGUCUGUAUGCGUGUGUGUGUGCACGUGCAUGCAUGUGUGCGCAUGUGUGUGUGUGCGUGUGGGUGUGUGUGUAUGUGGGUAUGUGUGUAUGUGGGUGUGCGUGCAUGCAUGCAUGUGUGUGUAUGUGUAUGUGUGCGCGCGUGUGUGUGUGUGUGUGUGCGCGCGCGCACACGCAUGUGUGUAAAACAACAGUUACAGAUAAGAAGCCAUGAAUAUGGGAAUGUAUAGAGGGGACAUAGGUAGAGUUGGGGGGCGGGGUGCACUGCGAACUUCUCAAAAGUACCUUUUAAACACUUUAAAAAUUAAAUUUUUACCUCAUCACCUUAUUAAUUCAAAGUAUAAAAGGCAUAAUUUAUAUAGUAUCUACAUUUUAGUCAAGCUAUUUUCACAAGACUGCCUUCUUUUAUAUGUCUACUAUUCUCAUAAAGGCAACAUUAAGUAUUACCAUUGAAAAGAUGAUCCUGGGGCUGAUUAGAUGGUUCGAUGGGCAGAGAUGCUUGCCACACAAGCCGAACGUUGAUCUAAGUUCAUCCCCCACAGCCUACGACAGAGCAGAACUUCCUGCACAAGGGUGUGCUCUGACUACCACACUGCCAGGGCAGACACAACUACACACAUGGACACACAGCCACACAUAAUUAUGUAAAAGGUAUAUGUUGACAGACUUCGCUCUAAAUGAAUGUAAUGGUGUGAUAAUAUAUUGUAGACAGAAACCCUUACUCAUUGUCCUGCUGGAUGUGUUCAUCUCUGUAAUUCUGGGAAGCAAGUGGCCUUGUCUUAUUGUGGACACAAGCACCCACAAUUUUCCACAGUGUCAUUCUCCUCCUCCUCCUCUUCCUCUCCUCCUCUUCCUCCUCCUCCUUUUCCUCCUCCACCACCACCUCCCCCAACCUCUCCUCCUAAUCUAAUUUGCAGGGCAUAAUUUUAGUAUUAGUUGCCUUGGGGUGUUGUUUCCUUUAAUGUUGUGUGUCUGAUCUGACAAUCGGCCACAAGGUGGCACCAAACUCACACCUACAGGACAAUUAAGGCCCUUGUGCUGGGUAGUUUUGGUUUUGUGCUCUUAAUCAUAAAAGCAUAAAACAUCUUCUAUGGCUUCCUUCAUAGCUUAUUAUGAACAACAACACAGAUUUCCAGAUAAAACUCGUGUGUGUGUGUGUGUGUGUGUGUGGUGUUAAAACUUUUUGCCACCUGUAAGAAACUUCUAAAGUAGACAAACCUCUUCUCAAGACAGGCUUAUGUCACAUCUGUAUAAAUUUCAAUAGGCAGAGGGGUAGAAGGUUGGGGAUGCAUAUAAAUCCUAAGUAAAUGUCCCUUUCUCAGAACACAGUCCAAGAACGGAGUUAUGUGAAGAGAAUUGUAAGUGCUUGUGAGAAAACUCAAAGAAAAUAAGACAAGGACUUAUGGCCUCAGUUCUUCAAAGCAAGGGAUUGUUCUUGGAAUGUGCUAUUGUGCCUCUCCUAGGUGUAUCGGAUAGGAGUGAGCUGACUUCAGAUUAUUCAUUACAACUGGGUAUCGUUAUUUGUUUAUGUGCCUCUAUGAAAAAACAUGUUUUUUGCCACAUGCACCUUGUCUUGUGACUGUACACUUUAUUCAUGUGAUUCUUCAGAGUCUGAAAUGUUCAAAGCUCUGGAGAAAGCCCUCAUUGCACAAGACUAUGGUCCACAUCCUUUCUAGGCUCCAUUCUCCCAGGUCCCAUUGCCAAUGAGAUCAGUGAGCAUCCCCGUUCUUAUGGUAAAAAUUCUGACUAAUUUAGCACCCUAAAUGGUACCCAGAAAUUUCUUGUUCUUCCUUUGUUUACAAUUGCAUCUGAUAUAGCUUAGAUUACCUGGCUUAAAUCUCUUAAAACUGCAUGUUAUUUAAAAGUUGAAGCACAUUUGUAAUUAAUUCAUCAUGUAGUAGGUUAUGGUUAUUUUAAAGGGAUAAGAUCUAUUCUGGGAGAAUUCUACUUUCUAUUCCCGUCGAAUUCUUCAUCCUAUGAAGCCUGUUCCUCAGUGAUUUAGAGUCUGGUUUAGAGCCCUAAGAACUCAUAAUGAAAGCCCUCUGGAAACAGACACCACACAUCACUAGGAGUUAGAGGAGAUUUCUGCCAAUUAAAAAAGGAGCUCACUGUGCCCAGCCUCUGGGAGCCAAGCCUUCUAUUUUGGGGGGUGGGGAGGAUGAAGAGGUAUAAUGUCCUCAGAGGGUCUGGCUUCCUCUCAGCAUGGAAAGGGAGAGCUGCCUGCCAGUAUAAGAAGUUAUUUCUACCCAUUCCCAGGAGUCACUACAGAUAAGAGUGACCACCUAGGAAAGGCUUAUAGGCUUGACAACCUUUCAAUAAGGAAAGAAAAAAGCUAAAAUAAAAGAAUGGUGGGACUGGGAAUAUAGCUCAGUGGUGGGGUGUUUGUGAAGCACUGCACAAGGCCUGAAGUUUGAAGCAGAAGCAAAGAAAGAAACAAAGAAACUGAGUAACAAAGAAACCAAAUAACAAAGAAACCAAGUAACAAAGAAACUGAGUAACAAAGAAACUGAGUAACACAGAAAGAAGAAACCUAGAUACUAAGUCCCACUCUGAGAUCACCAAGCCACCUAGUCUCACUGUGCCCAAAAGGCAUUUUCAAUCCUGUUAGCAAUUUCUGAAUCACCUGUCUAUUCUCUAGAACAUUAUUUAAGCAAGGAAAUGCCUUCACUGUGACUUCUUGGCUUCUAAUUAUUUGUGACUUUCAAAACACAAGGUAGACUUCCUUGGUCAUUUACUCCUGUUUACUAAACCUGCAGGUGGUUUGAGACUUCUGGGGCAAGCCAUACAGAAAGUCCUGGAAAAUCUUUCCUAUGCAAUGCACACUAAGAAUGGGAAAGGCACAAAGGAAGACAAGUAUGUGGCCAUAUAGUACAGAUCUCAGAGCCUGCUCAUUGAUCGGUCUGGAGUCUGCAAAUGUGCAGGACAAUUCUUCCACCCUGCUGCUCCCCCCUGGAAGGAAACACAGAAGGAAGCUUCAUAAAAUCACAAGUCUCUUCUUCCAAGCAAUGGGAAAACAGGAGUGAUAUAAAAACCUUGUAGCUCAAA